RNAcentral lists this unclassified non-coding RNA (574 nucleotides) under Bombus terrestris (buff-tailed bumblebee). RNAcentral describes it as "misc RNA ENSBTSG00005027954.1". The record is from RNAcentral. Lineage: Eukaryota; Metazoa; Arthropoda; Insecta; Hymenoptera; Apidae.
UUAUGAUAAUUUCAUGAUUUCGUUUGUGAAGAAUUUUAAGUCUUUUUCGUAUACAAUGUCCAAUUAGUAAUAUUUAUUCAAAUUAAACAUUUCAUUAUUUCUUAAAUGUUUACAGUUUUGGAAACGCAACGAUCUUUCUGAAUAAUUCAAUACAUUAUCUUAUACACGCAUCUUAAUUAAUUAUCAUGAAAGAAAUAUUUUGUUACAUAUUAAUUUUCUUUUCAAUGUAUUCAAUGUACGCAAUAAUUACAGUAAAAGCAAAGAAAUAGAACUGUAUAAGAUCAUAAUGGAGUUAUGAAGAAUCCAGAAAAAGAAAAGUAUCGAGGACAAUGACAGCAGCCACGAUUGCUGGCGCAACAAGGAUAGUUCGCAUCUAAAUUCAACGAUCGCAACGAAGAGGAACGUUGGUCAGAAGAAGAGAGGCGAACCUUACGCAAUCAAUUUCCAGGUGAAAGGUUCCAACGUAUGCAUGGGAAUUUACUUACAAAGGCCGUCAUUUUACUGUAACAUUUUCUCAAUUUCUUUAUUUAAGUUUUGUAAAAGGUGGAAAAUGAAAAAUGUGUAUUUAAAAGAG